CGUGCCCUUCAGUACGGAAUAGCUUCUGGAAACGGAAGGUAAUACCGUAUACGCCCUCCGGGGGAAAGAUUUAUCGCUGAAGGAUCGGCCCGCGUUAGAUUAGCUUGUUGGUGAGGUAAUGGCUCACCAAGGCGACGAUCUAUAGCUGGUCUGAGAGGAUGAUCAGCCACACUGGGACUGAGACACGGCCCAGACUCCUACGGGAGGCAGCAGUGGGGAAUCUUGCACAAUGGGCGAAAGCCUGAUGCAGCCAUGCCGCGUGAAUGAUGAAGGCCCUAGGGUUGUAAAAUUCUUUCAUCAGGGACGAUAAUGACGGUACCUGAAGAAGAAGCCCCGGCUAACUUCGUGCCAGCAGCCGCGGUAAUACGAAGGGGGCUAGCGUUGUUCGGAAUUACUGGGCGUAAAGCGCGCGUAGGCGGACUAUUAAGUCAGAUGUGAAAUCCCGGGGCUCAACCUCGGAACUGCAUUUGAAACUGGUAGUCUAGAGGCCAGGAGAGGUUAGUGGAAUGCCGAGUGUAGAGGUGAAAUUCGUAGAUAUUCGGUGGAACACCAGUGGCGAAGGCGACUGACUGGACUGGUACUGACGCUGAGGUGCGAAAGUGUGGGGAGCAAACAGGAUUAGAUACCCUGGUAGUCCACACCGUAAACGAUGAGUGCUAGUUGUCGGCAGGCAUGCCUGUCGGUGACGUAGUUAACGCAUUAAGCACUCCGCCUGGGGAGUACGGCCGCAAGGUUAAAACUCAAAGAAAUUGUCGGGGGCCCGCACAAGCGGUUGAGCAUGUGGUUUAAUUCGAAGCAACGCGCAGAACCCUACCUACCCUUGACAUGCCCGGUUCGGUCGCCAGAGAUGGCU
Molecule: ribosomal RNA, 853 nt
Filed under: uncultured organism
Description: bacterial SSU rRNA
Rfam family: Bacterial small subunit ribosomal RNA
Source: RNAcentral